This 447-nucleotide ribosomal RNA is filed under the name uncultured bacterium. Its description in RNAcentral is "bacterial SSU rRNA". It matches the Rfam family "Bacterial small subunit ribosomal RNA", at positions 355 to 825 of the family's 1533-position model. The record is from RNAcentral.
CCGGGAAUUUUGGGCAAUGGGCGAAAGCCUGACCCAGCAACGCCGCGUGAAGGAUGAAGUAUUUCGGUAUGUAAACUUCGUAAGAAUAGGAAGAAUAAAUGACGGUACUAUUUGUAAGGUCCGACUAACUACGUGCCAGCAGCCGCGGUAAUACGUAGGGACCAAGCGUUGUUCGGAUUUACUGGGCGUAAAGGGCGCGUAGGCGGUUUGUCAAGUCAGUUGUGAAAUCUCCGAGCUUAACUCGGAACGGUCAACUGAUACUGUCAAACUAGAGUACAGAAGGGGCAAUCGGAAUUCUUGGUGUAGCGGUGAAAUGCGUAGAUAUCAAGAGGAACACCUGAGGCGAAGGCGGGUUGCUGGGCUGAUACUGACGCUGAAGCGCGAAAGCUAGGGUAGCAAACGGGAUUAGAUACCCUUGUAGUCCCUGAGCGGGCUGGCAAGGCGCAU